RNAcentral lists this ribosomal RNA (232 nucleotides) under uncultured bacterium. RNAcentral describes it as "partial 16S ribosomal RNA". It matches the Rfam family "Bacterial small subunit ribosomal RNA", at positions 524 to 755 of the family's 1533-position model. The record is from RNAcentral.
UACGAAGGGUGCAAACGUUGCUCGGAAUUACUGGGCGUAAAGCGUGCGCAGGCGGCUAUGCAAGACAGAUGUGAAAUCCCCGGGCUCAACCUGGGAACUGCAUUUGUGACUGCAUAGCUAGAGUACGGUAGAGGGGGAUGGAAUUCCGCGUGUAGCAGUGAAAUGCGUAGAUAUGCGGAGGAACACCGAUGGCGAAGGCAAUCCCCUGGACCUGUACUGACGCUCAUGCACG